This 253-nucleotide ribosomal RNA is filed under the name uncultured bacterium. Its description in RNAcentral is "partial 16S ribosomal RNA". It matches the Rfam family "Bacterial small subunit ribosomal RNA", at positions 524 to 776 of the family's 1533-position model. The record is from RNAcentral.
UACGGGGGGUGCGAGCGUUGUCCGGAAUCACUGGGCGUAAAGAGCUCGUAGGUGGUUUGUCGCGUUGUUCGUGAAAACUCACAGCUUAACUGUGGGCGUGCGGGCGAUACGGGCAGACUUGAGUACUGCAGGGGAGACUGGAAUUCCUGGUGUAGCGGUGGAAUGCGCAGAUAUCAGGAGGAACACCGGUGGCGAAGGCGGGUCUCUGGGCAGUAACUGACGCUGAGGAGCGAAAGCGUGGGGAGCGAACAGG